CGGGGGAUUAGCUCAGCUGGGAGAGCACCUGCUUUGCAAGCAGGGGGUCGUCGGUUCGAUCCCGUCAUCCUCCA
RNAcentral lists this transfer RNA (74 nucleotides) under uncultured bacterium NAZ1. RNAcentral describes it as "tRNA-Ile". It matches the Rfam family "tRNA". Rfam says of the family: Transfer RNA (tRNA) molecules are approximately 80 nucleotides in length. Lineage: Bacteria; Pseudomonadati; Pseudomonadota; Betaproteobacteria. The record is from RNAcentral.